Molecule: long non-coding RNA, 1371 nt
Organism: Oenanthe melanoleuca
Lineage: Eukaryota; Metazoa; Chordata; Aves; Passeriformes; Muscicapidae
Exons: 4
Source: RefSeq, a predicted model, not a curated record
CAGCUCUGUGCCUCGACACAGGGCACGUUGUGGCCUCUGCAACGCGGGAAGCAACGGCAGGGACCCGGUGCCUGUGUGAAAUUACCGCAGUGUCCCAGCUCCUGUGGAGCGAAACGGAGAGUUGUGGCUCGAACGGAUAAACUUAAAUAGGAAAAAAUUAGGAGAAAAGUAUUUAAUGACAGAGCCUUGUGUGGGAAGUACAAAUGCAUUUUGUUUUAAGGUGCUUGCCUCCUCCUAGGCUGGAGAAUGUCAGGCUGGAUUGAACAACGUGCAUGGGAAGAGAAGGGAAUGCACACAGAGGCAGGCACAGGAUGUUCUGUUUGGAACAUGAGGGACUUUUGCCAGAGAUCUAUGGGAUAAGGCUUCAUGGAUCACUAGUAUUUAAGGAUUGCUGACCUGGAAGACUUGCCAGAAGUCACAAACCACUUAGUACUCUGCAAUUUUGUGAGACCUUAUGAGCCAAGUAAUAUAUUCCUGAAGCUAUUACCCAGCUUUGCAGGAAGAGAGUUGAACAAUCAUUUUUAACACUGUGGGGAGGCUGAGACAAUUUCCUGAUUACAUCCAGUGCCAAAAUCCAGCUGGACUGCAGUGGAAUCCUGAUGCCCAGACAGCAGCACUGGGUGCCCACACGUGGUUGACAACAUGAACACGUGCACUUUGUGUCUUUCUUGGAUCAGCUGCUGUUUGAUAUCAAGCCUUCUAAAGUGCUGCUGUAGAACCAGUUCAAACAACCCCACACUCAGCAGAUUUUCCCUCUGGCCUUAUCCUUGCAGCAGAGCUUUUGUGGAGACUGCUGCUUACUUCAAGACACAAAGAGAGCUCCUGCUGAAGCAACUAUCUCUGAGAAGGCAGGGGGUUAGAGUUUAUUCCUCCUGUCUUCCCAGUGCUUCCUUGACUCAUCUGCGAUGCUGACAUCAACACCAACUCCCUCCACUUCCAAAUUGUGAUGGUAGCACUUAAUCUCAGGCAGUUGGUUUGCUUGAAAACUUGCUAUCUUUCUUUCAGUGAAGUUUUCCCCUUUUUAGGAUGUUGUGUGUUUUUUUCCAUCAUAUUGAUCAGUCUUAUCUUUAGUCCAUGCCUUACUUCUCCCUGCUAAGUCUGUAUGCAUGGCUACAAGCAGGCAGAAAGGAGUGUUUGCUGUUUCAUUAGUACUUGUAGCUCCUGCCCAGUUAAUGGGAUCACCCAGAAGGAGAAAUGCAAGUUUUUAAGCAUCCACAGGUCAAGCACUUGGUGCUGAUGGAUUAAUUCUGGAGCUAAAGCUCCAGAGUACCCAGGCUGCCCCAACACUUGUUGCUGCCCACGAAACAAAGACGAGAUGAAAGCACACCUGAGUGUACCAGACUGAAAGCUGUGGCCACCCAAGUGGAUCAU